AUGAACGCUGGCGGCGUGCCUAAUACAUGCAAGUCGAGCGAACAGACGAGGAGCUUGCUCCUCUGACGUUAGCGGCGGACGGGUGAGUAACACGUGGAUAACCUACCUAUAAGACUGGGAUAACUUCGGGAAACCGGAGCUAAUACCGGAUAAUAUAUUGCACCGCAUGGUUCAAUAGUGAAAGACGGUUUUGCUGUCACUUAUAGAUGGAUCCGCGCCGCAUUAGCUAGUUGGUAAGGUAACGGCCUACCAAGGCAACGAUGCGUAGCCGACCUGAGAGGGUGAUCGGCCACACUGGAACUGAGACACGGUCCAGACUCCUACGGGAGGCAGCAGUAGGGAAUCUUCCGCAAUGGGCGAAAGCUUGACGGAGCAACGCCGCGUGAGUGAUGAAGGUCUUCGGAUCGUAAAACUCUGUUAUUAGGGAAGAACAAAUGUGUAAGUAACUAUGCACGUCUUGACGGUACCUAAUCAGAAAGCCACGGCUAACUACGUG
RNAcentral lists this ribosomal RNA (496 nucleotides) under uncultured bacterium. RNAcentral describes it as "partial 16S ribosomal RNA". It matches the Rfam family "Bacterial small subunit ribosomal RNA", at positions 29 to 507 of the family's 1533-position model. The record is from RNAcentral.